Dendrobium catenatum is the source of this 2402-nucleotide long non-coding RNA. RefSeq lists it as uncharacterized. The transcript has 4 exons. The record is from RefSeq and is a predicted model, not a curated record. NCBI's taxonomy places the organism in Eukaryota, Viridiplantae, Streptophyta, Magnoliopsida, Asparagales, Orchidaceae.
AUGAUGUUAUAUUCUCAGCCAUCUGCAUCAACCAUCCCUAUGAAAUAAUAACGUUCUCAUGUUAAUUCUCCUACAAUUACUCACGGCUUGAUGGUUGUUAAUAACAAUAUUCAAGGAUGCAUAGUUCGUCUAAUGUUUCUUAUAAGGUAUACCUGUGAUUUUAUCAGACAAGAGUAGCUGCCUUCUCAAUUCUCCAGAGCAAAUCAGUCCCAACCAGUACUCUGACAUUGCCGUUUCUGAUGAUUCCUUGGUUCAUCAUAAUCACAAUACAAAUAGCUGUUAAGGAAAACGGGUUUGUCCUAUUGAUGCUGAUGGAUUCCACAUUGUUCUUCCUAAUGCAGGAGAAACCGCAGGAAGAGUAAAAAACCCUCUGCAUCCAUAGAAUUACUGAACAUUACUUCCAUGAGGAUUAUAACAGUGAUCUGAAUGAUUACUCAAUAUACAGUGCUCAGUCCUGUGUUUCAGAUUUGCAAACCUGCUAAUUUGGUUCAAUCUGUGUCACUGAAAAGUCUAAUAUCUCACUUAUUCGUAUUCAUUGGCUACUCCAAAUCUGCUGGUUUUUAUUGGUGGUUGCUGGAAUAAACUUUUUCCGAUGGUUUGAACUUUGCUGGGAUCUUUCGGAGUUUUGUUUUGUUCAGCUGAUGUCAGCAAACUAUUUAGAGUAUUAUUCUGUUGUCACUUGCUGCUGAUGGUUGGAUUGCUCCAAUUGUUUGCUGCUUUAUUCGUGCACCAUUUCUUGGUUCAAAGGAGUGAUGAUGGAGUGCUGACUUUUAACUCUGCAUCACUUCUCUUUAUUGUUUCUUGUGGAGUUCCGGUGCUGCAGUUGCUGUUUCAGCAUCAUUCAGGGAUGAAGUAGCUGUUUAUUUAUUUUGGGCACUCCUCAAAUUAUAGUUAUCACUAUCGGUGGACAAUUUGGUUUUAAAAUGUCAGACUUGUAGCCUUAAUAUCCGUUCCUCUUCAGUUGCUUCUCAUAUGGACAAAAGAAUGGAUCAGAUCAAAUUGAAAAAUGAAAAAAUUUGUACAAUUUGGAAAAGUUAUACGUUUCUUCACAACUUUGUGGGAAAUCAUUAGGUAUGAAGAUGUCAGAUACCUAUGACUCGAUUGGUGAAAUAGUCUCUCUCCAAAAAAUAUAUACUUUUUUAUUGAUGCACAAAGAAAAGAUUUUGUUGCGAAUAGACAAAAUAUUGAGGAAUUGUCCAUAUGCAAGAUCAUAGUUAUUGAUACGGGUCUUUACCACAUCAAAGGAGAAUCUUUUGUUACAACUAUGCAGUUUUUUCUUUUUUAUAUUGGAUUUGUGCCCUUUUGAUUCUGCUUCCAUUCAGAAUGCGACUAUAGUGCUACCCUAGAUUAUUUAUAUGUAAUAUAUAAUACAAUUAAAAUUUUCAAGAGACCCAUGGGAUUAUAGAAUCGUGUGAGUAGGAUUAUUAGGAUUUAAUAUUAUUAAAUUGUUAAAAAAAAGGUUCUCUGGGUAGAAGAUUUUGUUUUUGCUGGAGGACUUCUGAAUUGAAGGCUUUGACAAUAUUUCGAGUUUUCUUUGUUCAGGUGCUGUUCAUUUAUUUAUCACAAUUUUUUUCAUUCCUGCCACCUGGGCAAUCCCGAAUACAAUGAAAUGGUUUUCUGCAGGUUUGUUGUUGCUGGAUUCGCUGAUAUAUGCAGGUUUUGCUUUUAGCCUUUACUUUAGCUGUUGUUUGGCUGCCUCUUAGAUUCUCAGCAGACAACUUUUAAUGCAAUAACAGUAUCGGAUUUUGUUGUGCUUGCAUAUUUAUAUUGAUAUCUUCAAAUGCUUGUAUCAUGGAUAGUCUUUUUAUCUAAUCAAUAUGGGUUUCAGAUUGUGUCAUGCAAUGUUGUUAUCCAAUCAAUAAUGAAGAAAGGGCUUCACAAGCUGCCGCAAAUAUCAUCUCAGAGCUUUUUGGGCACGAAGUUUUGGUUAGCCAUUCAUCUCUACUAACCAUCAAUAUAAUUUUCUUCCUGCAAGAGUGACAAAAUAAAUUAGUUUAAUCAAUUUGAGAAGUCAAAGUACAUCUAUAUUGCUGGUUUUUUCCUUUCGGUUUCUCUGGAGUCAAUACUUCGGCUUCGUUUGGGGCGGCGUUCUUUCUACUUCUUAAAGCAGUUUUCUAGUAUAAAAAUUUUAAUUUUCAUACUACAAUGCUGCUUUAAGAAGCAGAAAGAAAGCCGUGCCAAAUGAGGCCUUCAUGUGGCUAAGCACGUAGCUGCAAAACACAAGGCAAGUGUUCUAUUUACAGAAUAAUUUAUCUAUCUGUGAUCUAUUUUUCUCAUAUGUAUAUAAAAUGAUAAUGCGUAGCCAUUUUGAUUUUUUCUCCUUGAUGCAGUUCUUAACUUUAUUAGUGAUUAAGAUUAUUAGUCUGAUGUAACCUAUAUGAUAAUUCCUUCCAAAAUGUUUG